RNAcentral lists this ribosomal RNA (253 nucleotides) under uncultured bacterium. Its description in RNAcentral is "partial 16S ribosomal RNA". It matches the Rfam family "Bacterial small subunit ribosomal RNA", at positions 524 to 776 of the family's 1533-position model. The record is from RNAcentral.
GACGAACCGUGCGAACGUUGUUCGGAAUCACUGGGCUUAAAGGGCGCGUAGGCGGGUCAGCAAGUCCGGGGUGAAAUCUUUCAGCUCAACUGGAAAAGUGCCUUGGAUACUGCUGGUCUUGAGGGAGGUAGGGGCGUGCGGAACUUCUGGUGGAGCGGUGAAAUGCGUUGAUAUCAGAAGGAACGCCGGUGGCGAAAGCGGCGCGCUGGACCUCUUCUGACGCUGAGGCGCGAAAGCUAGGGGAGCAAACGGG